GACGAACGCUGGCGGCGUGCUUAACACAUGCAAGUCGAACGGAAAGGCCCUGCUUUUGUGGGGUGCUCGAGUGGCGAACGGGUGAGUAACACGUGAGUAACCUGCCCUUGACUUUGGGAUAACUUCAGGAAACUGGGGCUAAUACCGGAUAGGAGCUCCUGCUGCAUGGUGGGGGUUGGAAAGUUUCGGCGGUUGGGGAUGGACUCGCGGCUUAUCAGCUUGUUGGUGGGGUAGUGGCUUACCAAGGCUUUGACGGGUAGCCGGCCUGAGAGGGUGACCGGCCACAAGGGGACUGAGAUACGGCCCAGACUCCUACGGGAGGCAGCAGUGGGGAAUAUUGCACAGUGGGCGGAAGCCUGAUGCAGCAACGCCGCGUGCGGGAUGACGGCCUUCGGGUUGUAAACCGCUUUCGCCUGUGACGAAGCGUGAGUGACGGUAAUGGGUAAAGAAGCACCGGCUAACUACGUG
RNAcentral lists this ribosomal RNA (468 nucleotides) under uncultured bacterium. Its description in RNAcentral is "partial 16S ribosomal RNA". It matches the Rfam family "Bacterial small subunit ribosomal RNA", at positions 28 to 507 of the family's 1533-position model. The record is from RNAcentral.